UCACGGUCCUCUACUAGAGACCAUCAGGGAACCUCGUGCGCGUCGUCCUCCCAUUGAAUUGAGCUAGUUUCGUGUAACCAGACCGCGCAUGCUCUAGUAGUCGUCGACCGUGCAUGCUUUCGAAUCGUACGUACGUUCGUGUGCUUUUCUAAUUGCGUGAUAUAUCAUCAGGAGGUAUUUGGUCUAACUCUUCUCAAUCGUUUCACUAGGACGUGCAUGUGGUUGACGCGUGGGAGCUCCUGAAGAUCAAUUUCUUACUUCGCACGCUUGCUUCGCUGCUGUACUCUAAGUCUCUCGGCAUGGCAAGAGCAGACGGUGCAUGUGAUUGCAAGCCAGGUGGUAUUUGUGAAUUGUAGACGUGCAUGGCCCAGUAUUGUUGUUAGUUGCUCUUUGCAGUAGUCGAGUCGUUGGUUUUGUACACUUAAAGCAGCUGUUUGUGGUUAUCUAGGCAUCAGGCCAGUGGCAUGUCUGGUAGCGAUCGAACAGCAGUCCAGUCUCGGUUUGCUUGGUAGACAGACGCGUGAAAGUUUUUGUUCGGGUUUUGGUUUCUACUUUUGGAGUUCAACAUUCUAGUUUACUACCAAUGGAAUUAAUGAGGUUGCAAUGCAUGAGAUGAUCAUACAGACAGCAGUCCUGAAAAGUCUACGUUUUCAUGGUACAAUGCAGCAUAGCAGUCCUAAAGUGGGAAGUACAUCUAGAAAGACAGGGAAUAUUUACUGUAUUAGUGGCUGUUGGGAACUCGAUCUGCCUUUGGUGCUUUCUUGAUGGGCACACAAUAGCCUAUGCAACCUCCCCCACACUCAAAACACUAGACUUGUUUUGAAUCUGUGUCUAAGAUUGAUCGAUCGAUGCAUGGCAACUUCUGUGUGAUAUAGAAAUGUAUUAUAGUAUGGUACUCAUAUGUAUGAUUUUUUUCACGCCUGCUGAAGGCAUACAGUAUCCACAGUUAAUAAAGGACAUACAGAACUGUACAUUUAAAAUUUACACAGAGACACACACAGACACACACAAAAUAGAUAUUAUA
Long non-coding RNA from Corticium candelabrum, 1024 nucleotides. RefSeq lists it as uncharacterized. The record is from RefSeq and is a predicted model, not a curated record. NCBI's taxonomy places the organism in Eukaryota, Metazoa, Porifera, Homoscleromorpha, Homosclerophorida, Plakinidae. The transcript has 5 exons.